UAGGGAAUCUUCGGCAAUGGGGGCAACCCUGACCGAGCAACGCCGCGUGAGUGAAGAAGGUUUUCGGAUCGUAAAGCUCUGUUGUAAGAGAAGAACGUGUGUGAGAGUGGAAAGUUCACACAGUGACGGUAACUUACCAGAAAGGGACGGCUAACUACGUGCCAGCAGCCGCGGUAAUACGUAGGUCCCGAGCGUUGUCCGGAUUUAUUGGGCGUAAAGCGAGCGCAGGCGGUUUAAUAAGUCUGAAGUUAAAGGCAGUGGCUUAACCAUUGUUCGCUUUGGAAACUGUUAGACUUGAGUGCAGAAGGGGAGAGUGGAAUUCCAUGUGUAGCGGUGAAAUGCGUGGAUAUAUGGAGGAACACCGGUGGCGAAAGCGGCUCUCUGGUCUGUAACUGACGCUGAGGCUCGAAAGCGUGGGGGGCAAACAGG
This 429-nucleotide ribosomal RNA is filed under the name bacterium. RNAcentral's name for it is "partial 16S ribosomal RNA". It matches the Rfam family "Bacterial small subunit ribosomal RNA", at positions 355 to 776 of the family's 1533-position model. The record is from RNAcentral.